Molecule: ribosomal RNA, 700 nt
Filed under: Enterobacter cloacae
Lineage: Bacteria; Pseudomonadati; Pseudomonadota; Gammaproteobacteria; Enterobacterales; Enterobacteriaceae
Description: bacterial SSU rRNA
Rfam family: Bacterial small subunit ribosomal RNA
Source: RNAcentral
UGGCUUGCGGCAGCUACACAUGCAGUCGAACGGUAGCACAGAGAGCUUGCUCUCGGGUGACGAGUGGCGGACGGGUGAGUAAUGUCUGGGAAACUGCCUGAUGGAGGGGGAUAACUACUGGAAACGGUAGCUAAUACCGCAUAACGUCGCAAGACCAAAGAGGGGGACCUUCGGGCCUCUUGCCAUCAGAUGUGCCCAGAUGGGAUUAGCUAGUAGGUGGGGUAACGGCUCACCUAGGCGACGAUCCCUAGCUGGUCUGAGAGGAUGACCAGCCACACUGGAACUGAGACACGGUCCAGACUCCUACGGGAGGCAGCAGUGGGGAAUAUUGCACAAUGGGCGCAAGCCUGAUGCAGCCAUGCCGCGUGUAUGAAGAAGGCCUUCGGGUUGUAAAGUACUUUCAGCGGGGAGGAAGGUGUUGUGGUUAAUAACCGCAGCAAUUGACGUUACCCGCAGAAGAAGCACCGGCUAACUCCGUGCCAGCAGCCGCGGUAAUACGGAGGGUGCAAGCGUUAAUCGGAAUUACUGGGCGUAAAGCGCACGCAGGCGGUCUGUCAAGUCGGAUGUGAAAUCCCCGGGCUCAACCUGGGAACUGCAUUCGAAACUGGCAGGCUGGAGUCUUGUAGAGGGGGGUAGAAUUCCAGGUGUAGCGGUGAAAUGCGUAGAGAUCUGGAGGAAUACCGGUGGCGAAGGCGGCCCC